RNAcentral lists this long non-coding RNA (3938 nucleotides) under Fragaria vesca (wild strawberry). Its description in RNAcentral is "long non-coding RNA (FVES_LNC001414)". The record is from RNAcentral. Lineage: Eukaryota; Viridiplantae; Streptophyta; Magnoliopsida; Rosales; Rosaceae.
UGAAAUCUUGAAGGAAAAAUAAUUCAUGUUGUGCAAGGAAAGAAAUCAGAAAAUCUGUCAGAAAUAGUCAGUCAACUUCGACAGAAGAUUGUGAUUAGCUCACAACCAUCUAGGAGAUGUGCCAUAUAUCAAUGGAAAGCUACAAGAGUCUACUUUCCAAAACUUUUUACGGAUCGUCAAUAACUAUUUUGGAGAAGAAGUUAUGACCGUUUGAGUGGCCGAAGGUCAGUCUGCCCGAAUUUCUGAUUUGGACCAAAACUUCUAGUUUGAGGCCCAGGCCACAUUGGUAAGCCCAUGGAUGAGUUUUGAGGGUUUUAUAACCCUAAUCACAGCAGAAAAGAAAGGAGGAGAGAGAGGACGGGAAGAUUAGAGAGGAGGCCAGCGAUCUCACAUCAUCAGAACCUCCAUAGUUGCGGACUCGCACAAGGAAACCGCCAAGCCAUCAUUGAUCUCUCCAUCAUCCACGGUUUAUCUUUCCUUUGUCAUCUUUCAUUCUCCUUGUGUGUCUUUGCAGCCAUGUGUGGCUGAAUUCUCUUAGUUAGGGGCAAGGUUUGAAGCCUCAAGAAUGUUUUAGAUAUUGUUUAGAACCUUGGUUUCGAAUUAUUAAGUCUUUCAAAUUGUUUAUUUGGUUUUGGUUUAUGGAGAACUUUUGCUUGUUUAUGUUCAUGUAUGCGCAACAUAGAACAUUAUGAACUUGUGAGUGGGGCUAGAAUUAGGUUGUUUAAUCUCCUAAACGGUUAAUACGGCUUAGUUCAAAGUAGUAAAACCUAUAGGACAAUAGGUGAAACCAAAUAAAAAUGAUUGCAUGCUAGGUAAGCGUUCCACACUAGUUUUGCAUACUUGUUCAAUCACUUUCAUUGAUCUUUAUGCUUAGAAUAAUUUGUUGAUAGGAUAGCGUCUAUACCUUGAUCAGUUAUUCUAAAGGCUUAGUAAUGGUGCGUUCAUCUUGCUUAAGUAUUCAAGGGAAGUAAUAAGGACUUACGCGGUGCGUUCACGGUUUGUUCUUGAUUGAUACCGAUUUGUGACUUAAUAAUUGAAGCUUUGGUUGUUAACUUAUCUUGAAACAUACUUGGUGGUGGAUUUCCAAGUCUUUAACGUCUCAUCCAUCUGAUCUUUUCUGUUUUAUUUUGUUUCUUUGUUUUCUCUUGUUUAUAAUCAUAUAACCCCAUAUCUCUAGUACUAUAAUAUUUUUUUUUCUCUUGUUUUGUAAUUAACGUAAUUGUAAAGGUACCCUCAAUCCCCGGCUUUUAUAACGAUACCCUUAUUUGCUAUAUACUACAAUUGACACAAAAAGGUUUUAAUUGAAACGCCCGGUUUCGGUCGCUAUCAUGCCUGCCGUCGAUCCAAGGUCUCCCAACACAAUCCUCCUCACGUCCUGAAUAAUAAAUAAUAUUAAGUCUCCAGACUAGAUUAAAGCUUAAAUAAAUAUUUCCGAAAUAAAAAAGGAAGCCUAUAGUUUUAUCUCCCUUGCCCAACUUCUCCACUUUUAAUCUAAUAAGGCUCACAUUACUCCACACUUACCAAUAGCCAUAAAUUAACCUUUUAGAAUUUAAAACCUGCUAAACCAACUGCCGAAAUCCUACUCUAAUAACCGUCACAAUUCUUAACCAUUGAAAAAUCCCAAAUCUUAUCAAAACUCCUCCAAAAAUUCCAAACUUUACUUCAUUAAACUCCUCUCAUUAAAACCAUCUCAAAAACAUGAAAAAAUUGUCCUUAAGGGGCGGCGGCCGGCAGCUGUACUCCGGCAACCUCCAAUGCUUCCCAAAUUUUAACACAACACUACCCUCAACCUACACAACAACUUCCUUAACUAGCACAAGAUCUAUUUCUAAGCCUAACUAGGUUAAUCGAACCAAAACCUUAAAUUGAACCAUAGGACUUCAAUUAUACAUUUCUCCCUACCAAGAUCGAAUUGAGCCAAUUCCUUUUGAGGGAUUACUAACCUUGAUGAGAGCUUCAAGAUGAGCCACAAAUCCCGAGCUAUGGUGGCCGGAGGAGGGAACUCCGGUGAAGGGUUGUCCGGCGUCUCAGGCGGGAUUUCUCUUGACCGGUGGCAUCACACGCUCGGUCACCGGCCCAAGAAGAGAGAGGGGGCGACGGGGGUCCAAACGGAGCUGGUCCGGCGGUCUAUGGUGGCCGGACGGCGGUGAAUGGAGGCUGGGUCUCCGGCGGGUCGGGAGGCUUCAGGAGAGAGAGAGAGAGAGAGAGAGAGAGAGAGAGAGAGAGAGAGAGAGAGAGAGAGAGAGAGAGAGAGAGAGAGUAGAGUAGGUAGGUAGGUAGGUAGGUAGGUNNNNNNNNNNNNNNNNNNNNCUUAAUACCCCAACAAAAUAAACCCACUUAAAUUUUUUACCCCCUUUUUACUAACUCAAAAUUUACCCUUUUUAUCUGAUAAUUUUUUCGUGCUAACUCCGAUUUUUGCGUAUAACAUGUCUAUGAACUCAUAUUAACGUCCUAUACAACUUCCUUAAAGAAAGUUUUCCAAAAUAACUUGCCUACAAAAAGUCAAUUAUAAGGUCUUUAACAGUAAACGGUUACUUAACACGGUAAAAGACCAAGAUAAAACCAAAAAUAAAUAACCGUAAAAUAACUUAAGAACCGGGGUUUGACAAGUACCCUUUAAGCAGUGGCGGAGCCAAGAUUUACACUUAGAGGGGGUUCAAGUUUGACGAUAGACGACUCGAUUUGGAUUUAAUUAUUUUAUUUAAAUAUAAUUUUAAAUUAUUUUCGUUAACUAUAUGCUAAAUGUAGCAGUAUUUAUACAUCAUCUAUCAUCAAAAAAUUUAUAAAUUUUUAUUUAGUUUCAAUAAAGACAAUAAAACGUCACUCAUAAAAAAAAUUAAGUAAAAAGCGUUGAUGGCAAUAAUUUAGACGUUUAAACCUGAAAAUCUUGUAGAACCAUAUUUAUACAUUGGCGGAGCCAGUUCAGGACUAGUGAGGGCCCGUGCCCCCAUUAGAUUUCAACAUAUAGCUGUGUUUUGAUCUGAUGUGCCCCCAUUCCCUCACUAGAAAUCUUACAAUUGUAUUGGUUUAAUAUAUAAAAAUUUCAUAAAGCCCCACAAUUCCCACAAAACAAGAGAAAAAGGAAGCUAUGCACUCUUGAAUAUAUAAUUGAAAAGUUUAAAAUAUGAAAAUCAAGUCGUUUGCUGCGUUAAUGUCAAAAAAAAAGAAGGAGAAAUUACUGGUCACUCCAUUAACUUUCAUGCGCUCGACAGUUUACUCCAUUAACUUUCAAUUUCAAUCGAUCACUCCUCAAACUAUCCAAUGUCACACAAUUAGGUCCAUCCGUUAAGUGGCCGUCCAAAUCAGUGGUUAAGUCGCUGACUGGACAUAUUUUUUAACUGGAAAUUCUAUUUAAUACCCACCUCUCUCUCUCUCNCUCNCUCUNNNCNNCUCNNNNNNNUNUNUNNUNUNUNUCUCUCUCUCUNUCUACUACUACUCUCUACUACUACUAUACUACUACUACUACUACGUACGUACUACUACUACGUACUACUAUAUACUACUAGUACUACGUACUACUACUAUACGUACGUACGUACGUACUACGUACGUACGUAACUACGUACGUAACUUACGUUAACUUAAGUUACGUUAAGUUAGUACUACGUUACUAAGUACGUUACGUUACGUAGUAUAUUAUUAUAUAUAUUAUUACUACUACCUCUCUCUCUCUCUCUCUCUCUCUCUCUCUCUCUCAAAGUAGGCAUAUUUCAUGAAGCCAACUUCAGAUGAAUCAAAUAAACUCCUGUGAACCACUUACUGGUUGUUUUAUGACAGAACAUUAAUGUAUGAUGUCGUGGCAACAGAAUUGAAACAACUCCUUCAUGAGAAACUUCCAAGAGCCCAGAAACCAACUCCACAAAAAGCUUUAUGAAAAGCUGAUGAUUUUUGUUGCCCAGGAUGCCAACUAUAUGCACGAUUUACGCCAUGCUCUGAUG